GGGCCCGCACAAGCGGUGGAGCAUGUGGUUUAAUUCGAUGAUACGCGAGGAACCUUACCAAGGCUUAAAUGUAGAGGGACAGGCGGCGAAAGUUGCCCUUCUUCGGACUCUCUACAAGGUGCUGCAUGGUUGUCGUCAGCUCGUGCCGUGAGGUGUCGGGUUAAGUCCCAUAACGAGCGCAACCCCUAUCUUUAGUUGCCAGCGGUUCGGCCGGGGACUCUAAAGAAACUGCCCGCGCAAGCGGUGAGGAAGGUGGGGAUGACGUCAAAUCAUCACGGCCCUUACGUCCUGGGCCACACACGUGCUACAAUGGUAGGUACAGAGGGAAGCCACCCCGCGAGGGGAGCGGA
RNAcentral lists this ribosomal RNA (350 nucleotides) under uncultured bacterium. RNAcentral's name for it is "bacterial SSU rRNA". It matches the Rfam family "Bacterial small subunit ribosomal RNA", at positions 917 to 1271 of the family's 1533-position model. The record is from RNAcentral.